GGUUGCUCCGACAUGCGCACACGGAGGCAAUUGUAGUUUGGGUGACUUGCCACACAUUGUUUCCUUCAGCAUGUUAACCUUUACAGCUGCACCCAAACAGAGGUUUCAUUUCUCGCUGGUUCAUGAGUCGAGUUACGUGGCGUAACGAACAACAGGAACAAUCUGUUUACGUCACCUUCACGUGCCCCAGUCGCCUCCCCUGGUAUCGGGCGCUCUUCUGCGCGGCGUCAGACCAAGUCAGACCGUGAAAAAGGAAACCACUGUUUCUCGCGGAUACCUCAACAGUAAAAGUUUCAAGACAGCAAAAUGUUGACAACGACGAGGCUUGUGAGAGAACAUUUGUUACUGUGAUGUCACAACUGAACUGAAGAGUUGUCUUUACAGUCUUCUUCUCCUCACACACGUCACCAUGUUCGUAUCUUCAGUACUUUCUCUCCUCCGGAAAGUGAGCGUUGCUACAAAAUAAAACGGAAUAAAUGAUGAGAUCAGAAGGAAUGCAGAUUGGAGAUGGACUGAAAUUUCCUUAAAACCUCGGACAAGGGAAAAAAGAAGAAAAGAAAUAAUGUUUUUACUCCGUCCUUAAACCCUGCCACGUCAGCCCACCCGUAUCUUCUCACGAUCACCACGGACACCUGCUGAUGUCUACAGACCACUCAUUGACCAUGAUCGGGGAAUGUCUUCUCCUAGCCUUGCCAGUCUUGUGCUGUGCUGCUGCCGCUAGAGGUCGCGACAUGAUGCAGCUGCCCCGGGUUUCACACAGAAUAGUAAAAGGAACAUCACUUCCUCGUCAGACCAUCGACAGUCUACUGGAGCUGCCCCCUCAUGCCAAAGUGUACGGAGAAGACGACGACUUCGGGUGCACGCCGGGGAUCAGCUCAUUGAGCUGGACGUGUGCAUCACACCCGAACAGGCCAAACAGUUCGAACCCUUGCCACAGGAAAUGUCUGACAGCACUUCCGGGAGACAGCGACGAAAGCGCCAGGCGAUGGAUGCGGCAGCGUUUCCAAUCUGGAGAGGGGCCGUCAUCCCGUACGUCUUCAAUCUGUCCUUCUCAACUUCUGACCGCAACCUCGUCCUCACGGCCAUGGCCGAGUGGGAGCUGGUCACGUGUGUCCGGUUCCGACCAGCCACAGCUGAGGACAUCGACUUGGUGAUUUUUAGAGAUGGCAGCAGGUGCUCGACAAAUAUUGGGCGGUAGGUGGCCCUCAGGUUCUGACCCUUGCUCAGCCAUGUCGUACGAAGCGCAUUUUGAUUCACGAGCUGGGUCACGUGCUGGGUCUGAUUCACGAGCACCAGCGCCACGACCGCGACACGUACGUGCACGUCCUCCUGCAGAACGUGCGCAACUCCACCCAAGAGCGCUACCAGUUCUCCAAGUUGUCUCUCCGACCUUUGACCGAUGGCCAAGUGGAGUACAGCUACACCUCCAUCAUGCACUACGGACGCAACUAUUUUGCCAAACACCCGGACCUGACCACGUUGCAGACGAGUGACCCCAACUUUCCAGAACAUCAUCGGUCGAGCGGAGGUACCGUCUCCGAGCGACGCAGAAGCUAUCAACCUGCUGUACGGCUGUGAAGGAACUUUCCAGAACCGACUUCCAGACGCGACUUGUGACUUUCUCCUGCGCACGGGCACAUGCGACGGCAAGGUUCGGGACACGAUCCGCCCUCUCUGCCCCAAGUCUUGCCAGCUUCACCAACGGCAGCACCACCACCACCAAAACCAUCAUGGCCCAGAGAGCGGCGGUGGCGACCUCUAUCAACCUCCCCUUCACUCGGGCUUCCGCUCGACCACCACGGGCCUGGCAUCUCUCUCAAGUCUGACCCCUUCAACGUGGGUCACGGCGCCAACGUCAUCGCCAGGCCGCGAGGCAGCUUGCAUGUGGAGGUCGCAGGGUUGUUGUCGACUUCCGGGGCGGGUCGAAACCCGUUUCCGCAGGUUUCUCCCAGCUGGGUCAAGACAGGGUCAGAGGGGCUUACUGCUGACCAGACGGACAGCGCCAUCCAGCGGGUGAAGUCAUUGGUGGAGCAGUCUCAGCAGCGUGGACCGCAGGACGAAACGCCGAGGAGCAGACAAUGGACAUCAAUGGCGGCGGCAGCAAAACAGGAUCAUGGGUCCACAGUUUAGGUUCCUUGCUGUCCAAUCUCGGAGCCAUGAAGAACGACACCAACCACAUUCCUUUCAGCUGGCUGAGGUCACGCCCACCCAACGACUCGCGUUUCCAUGGCAACGUUGCCAGGUUGUCCACCACGACAAGCGACCCUGGGAAGCCCGGCGCAAGCUUCGGAGCCGAGAACUCGCCCAUGGCGGCCUCCAACAUGAUGGCCUUAUCACCAGAGUUCUUGCCGGAAUCCUCGCUGGCGUCAGCCCCUCGCGGUCCGCAGUCGCCCGCUGACCAAGCAUCCUCCGCGCACGCUGACCACAAGGCCAUCCAUCGGUCCUCCGCGCGGCAGGCGUCUCCGGAGGAUCUCGCCGCCAGCCUGCUGAGUCUCGUCAUUGAAGCAUCAAGGUCUUCCGCGCGGGUGCCGCUUGACAGCGCCAUCGCGAAACCACCGGUGGCAUCUGGGGGUGGUCAUGCAUACCCAAGGCUGCACCCAACGGACAGGAUGGGGCCGGACACGCAUGCAAAUUUGCAACCCUUAACUUUUGUAAUUUAAAAGAUGGACAAACAAACAAAAAAGAAACAUCGCUGUUAUUGUCGAUCAGACAAAAAGAAACAAUAAAAACGGCGGUCUGUUUUCUAUGCACCUUGAAAAAUUACAUCGUCAAGAAGUGGAGGACCCUCCCUUUGGCUUUGAUCUCCUUCGCCUAACGGACAUUCCUGGGACCAAUCAUUGAAGCACAAACUUGGUUCAUACUAACAAACAAACUGGACCAUAGAGGCAUUGCAGACGGAUCCAUAACUUUUGAGGUCUCACUCCCCAACUCAAUGCCAAAGUUACUUUCCUUUUGUUCCGGCAACAAUAAUGGAGCAAAGAAAACAAAAGUUGAGGAAAGAUGUCAAAGUGAUGUGAUGUCGGAGAUGUUCGUGCGCCUUACACUACUCGACUUAUUGGUUGAUUACUUUUCGCACCCGGGUUAUCUCUGUGUCGUAUUAAAACUGUUCAGGAGAAGUUCAA
Pomacea canaliculata is the source of this 3122-nucleotide long non-coding RNA. RefSeq lists it as uncharacterized. The record is from RefSeq and is a predicted model, not a curated record. NCBI's taxonomy places the organism in Eukaryota, Metazoa, Mollusca, Gastropoda, Architaenioglossa, Ampullariidae. The transcript is spliced from 10 exons.